CCGAUUUAGAGACAGAACUGUCUCAUUACUUCCUGGGUUGUGGCAGCAAGGAAGGGCAAGAAGGGGGAUAAUACAUCCUCGGGCAACAAGGGCUACACUCUAAACGUUCUGGUUUAAACCCCAACAAAAUAAUCCAGCCGACAAUGAUGCCUGUAACCAUGGUACCCCACUCCAGUUUGUGUGUGAAUGGCAAGGGAGGAGAGGGAGAGAGAGAGACGCUGUUUUGCUGCCAGAGAAGCCGCUGACUGAGUUUACUCUGAGCAGCAAGUCGCUAAAAGGGUCUAUAAAGUCACAAAGUCCAGCGAGAAAGGCGACAAUUUAGCAAACGUGUGCAUGUGUGUAUGUGUGUGUGUCACAUCUCACAAUAAAAAUAUGAU
Long non-coding RNA from Cottoperca gobio, 377 nucleotides. RefSeq lists it as uncharacterized. The record is from RefSeq and is a predicted model, not a curated record. The transcript has 3 exons. Lineage: Eukaryota; Metazoa; Chordata; Actinopteri; Perciformes; Bovichtidae.